Molecule: ribosomal RNA, 253 nt
Filed under: uncultured bacterium
Lineage: Bacteria
Description: partial 16S ribosomal RNA
Rfam family: Bacterial small subunit ribosomal RNA
Source: RNAcentral
UACGUAGGUGGCAAGCGUUGUCCGGAAUUACUGGGCGUAAAGGGCGCGUAGGCGGCCCGCUAAGUCGAACGUGAAAUCCCCGAGCUCAACUCGGGAACUGCGUCCGAUACUGGCGGGCUUGAAUCCGGGAGAGGGAUGCGGAAUUCCAGGUGUAGCGGUGAAAUGCGUAGAUAUCUGGAGGAACACCGGUGGCGAAGGCGGCAUCCUGGACCGGCAUUGACGCUGAGGCGCGAAAGCUAGGGGAGCAAACGGG